CUUGUUUUCUUCUCUUGUUCGCAAGACGAUGUCUAGAGUAACUAUCCUCUCUUUGUAAAAUAUUCAAAAUACCAGCUUUUUCUUUGUAAAGUGUUUGGAGCACCGACUUUUUCUUUGUAAAGACUUUAAUGAAUAAAAAAGAAUGCUUUAUUUUGAAAGUCUUUACUUUGAUUCUAACUUUAAAUUUGUAUGUGUGAAUUUUUUGAAUUUUGCUUAGCUCAUAGAAAAUAGCACAAGUAGAUGCUC
RNAcentral lists this long non-coding RNA (246 nucleotides) under Elaeis guineensis (African oil palm). Its description in RNAcentral is "long non-coding RNA (EGUI_LNC030040)". The record is from RNAcentral. Lineage: Eukaryota; Viridiplantae; Streptophyta; Magnoliopsida; Arecales; Arecaceae.